CAGCCCGGUAAUUCCAGCUCCAAUAGCGUAUAUUAAAGUUGUUGCAGUUAAAAAGCUCGUAGUUGAAUUUCGGGGUUAGUAGGUUGGUCAUGCCUCUGGUAUGUACUGGUCUCACUGAUUCCUCCUUCCUGAUGAACCUUAAUGCCAUUAAUUUGGUGUUUUGGGGAAUUUGGACUGUUACUUUGAAAAAAUUAGAGUGUUUAAAGCAAGCUAACGCUUGAAUACAUUAGCAUGGAAUAAUGAAAUAGGACGUUCGAUCCUAUUUUGUUGGUUUCUAGGAUUGACGUAAUGAUUAAUAGGGAUAGUUGGGGGAAUUAGUAUUCAAUUGUCAGAGGUGAAAUUCUUGGAUUUAUUGAAGACUAACUACUGCGAAAGCAUUUGCCAAGGAUGUUUUCAUUAAUCAAGAACGAAAGUUAGGGGAUCGAAGACGAUCAGAUACCGUCGUAGUCUUAACCAUAAACUAUGCCGACUAGGGAUCGGAUGAUGUUAAUUUUUUAAUGACUCAUUCGGCGCCUUACG
This 519-nucleotide unclassified non-coding RNA is filed under the name uncultured Glomeromycotina. RNAcentral describes it as "SSU rRNA". It matches the Rfam family "Eukaryotic small subunit ribosomal RNA", at positions 571 to 1092 of the family's 1831-position model. Lineage: Eukaryota; Fungi; Glomeromycota. The record is from RNAcentral.